AGUGGCGGACGGGUGAGUAACGCGUGGGUAACCUGCCUCAUACAGGGGAGUAACAGUUAGAAAUGACUGCUAAUACCGCAUAAGACCACGGAGCCGCAUGGCUCAGUGGGAAAAACUCCGGUGGUAUGAGAUGGACCCGCGUCUGAUUAGGUAGUUGGUGGGGUAACGGCCUACCAAGCCAACGAUCAGUAGCCGACCUGAGAGGGUGACCGGCCACAUUGGGACUGAGACACGGCCCAA
This 240-nucleotide ribosomal RNA is filed under the name uncultured bacterium. RNAcentral describes it as "partial 16S ribosomal RNA". It matches the Rfam family "Bacterial small subunit ribosomal RNA", at positions 94 to 334 of the family's 1533-position model. The record is from RNAcentral.